This is a long non-coding RNA of Camelina sativa (false flax), 742 nucleotides long. RefSeq lists it as uncharacterized. NCBI's taxonomy places the organism in Eukaryota, Viridiplantae, Streptophyta, Magnoliopsida, Brassicales, Brassicaceae. The record is from RefSeq and is a predicted model, not a curated record.
AUGUAUCGUUUCAUUUUUUUUUCGGACUCUCUCUCGUGUCUUCUUUCUUUUCUCUCGACAGCGACGACAAACCGAUACCGAUCCUCGACGAUUUCACGAAGCUGAUCCGUUCUUCUCACCGGAAGUUCUUGUCGAAUUACCAAAGCCGUUUGCAGUUUGAUCGCCGACUCGAGCAAAGAAAAGAAAGAUGAGUGGAAUCGGAGAGAAAGCUACUGGAACAACUAAGACUCCUAAUGAUUUCUUGAAGUCUAUUCGUGGUAGACAAGUUGUUGUCAAGCUCAACUCUAGUGUUCAUUACCGAGGUAUUGGAGCUUCUCAGGAGGAAUAGAGAUAUGAUCUUCAGUGAGGUUAAGUUGACUUGGCUGAAGCCUUGGAGCAGGUUACUAUAGAGCAAAAGAGGACGCUUGUGAAGGGAUUGUGAAGAGUGAAGAGGUGGUGAGGUGUUUGAAAGGAGUGAUGGAAGGAGAGAGUAGUGUUAAGAUUAGAGAGAGUUCUAAGAAGUGGAAAGAUUUGGCUGUCAAGGCAAUGAGUGAAGGAGGAAGCUCUGAUCGGAGCAUUAACGAAUUUAUAGAGAGUUUAGUGAAGAAACAUUGAUUUUAACUUUGUAAAUCACGGUAAUGUAUGUGUUUGUUGUUGUUGUUGUUGUUGUUGUAUAAGAAGAGCAUUGUACCGAGAUGUUUGUGAGUUGUGAUUCAAUAAACCAAUUAUGAUUACGUAAAAGAACUGAUUACGUUAUUCAUUA